UAUGGUAAUGUUGAAUAGUUAUUUUCACAAAAUAAAGAAUCGGUUUGAUCUUUUUCAUCGAUCUAAAUUAUUUCUAAGGUCGCAAGAAUGUUGCUGAACUUCUCAUCAAAAAAGGCGCCAAAGUUGAUAUUAGAAAUGUUGAGAAUCUAACACCUCGUCAGUUAGCUGUUAACAAUGGUCACAAUAAUGUCGCCAACCUUUUAAUCCAGGGGAAUUGAAAAUUUUGACACAUAGACACUAGCGCUGCAGUUUGCUUGUCAGUUGGUCAGUUGGUCAGCUGCACAACUAACAAUCAUGCUGGUGGAGCGGCC
Long non-coding RNA from Sitodiplosis mosellana (orange wheat blossom midge), 311 nucleotides. RefSeq lists it as uncharacterized. Lineage: Eukaryota; Metazoa; Arthropoda; Insecta; Diptera; Cecidomyiidae. The record is from RefSeq and is a predicted model, not a curated record. The transcript is spliced from 2 exons.